RNAcentral lists this ribosomal RNA (402 nucleotides) under uncultured bacterium. Its description in RNAcentral is "bacterial SSU rRNA". It matches the Rfam family "Bacterial small subunit ribosomal RNA", at positions 355 to 774 of the family's 1533-position model. The record is from RNAcentral.
UGGGGAAUCUUGGACAAUGGGCGCAAGCCUGAUCCAGCCAUGCCGCGUGAGUGAAGAAGGCCCUAGGGUUGUAAAGCUCUUUCGGCGGGGACGAUAAUGACGGUACCCGCAGAAGAAGCCCCGGCUAACUCCAUGCCAGCAGCCGCGGUAAUACGGAGGGGGCUAGCGUUGUUCGGAAUUACUGGGCGUAAAGCGCACGUAGGCGGGUCGUUAAGUCGGGGGUGAAAUCCUGGGGCUCAACCUCAGAACUGCCUUCGAUACUGGCGACCUUGAGUACGGGAGAGGUGAGUGGAAUUCCCAGUGUAGAGGUGAAAUUCGUAGAUAUUGGGAAGAACACCAGUGGCGAAGGCGGCUCACUGGCCCGUAACUGACGCUGAGGUGCGAAAGCGUGGGGAGCAAACA